Molecule: long non-coding RNA, 862 nt
Filed under: Marmota monax (woodchuck)
Lineage: Eukaryota; Metazoa; Chordata; Mammalia; Rodentia; Sciuridae
Source: RNAcentral
CCUGGGCUCCAGUUUCCCUUGGGGCUCUGCAGUAAGGGGCUGGGGGCCCCUGGUGCCAAGGGGAAUGGGGUGCUGGGGGGCCUAGGUCUCAGCUGGAGAGACCUCAGAGCAUAGAGCAUUCCGCAUGGCUCUUUCUUUUGCUUCCCUCUCUGUGUCCUCUCUCUCCUCAAGACCAUUCCUUGAGUCCUUGCCCCACUUGCCCUGAGGUUGUCGCUCCAGGAGGAGCCUAAGCCUAAAUGGCUGUCAGGAGCCCCGCAUCCUGCCCUGGUUCAGUCCUUAAUUUGCUCUCUUUGAUUUUGGACUAACCACUUCUCCCUGAGCUUGAGUUUCCCACAGAGGUAGAAUUAAAGGAAAUCAAAGGUCCCUUUCAGCUCUGAGCAUCAUAGACUUAAAGGCUCAUUGGAAUAUAAGCACCAAGGAGAAGAGGGAUCUUUGUCCAUCCUUCUUCUUCCUAUAGCCCUACUGUUCAGAAUUUUACCUGGCCCAUAGGAUGUGCUCAGUUGCCGAGGGAACGCACCCUCCUGAGUCACAAGCUGCAGGGGGUAGUCUUUGUUUCUCCAACUCCAUUUCUGGAGAUUUAUGGUAUUGUCCUUUAAAGAGAACUCAGAUUCAGCCCCUCCCAUGCAUAGCUGUGAGCGAACACCAGUCAACACCCAAAUUCUCUUUCUUUGGGAGCUUGAAUUAGUUGAUGUCCCCAUGGGAUCUGACAACUUCUUUUAGACCCAUCCCUGGCACUUGCCUGCCCCAUCCUGAUCUGGAGAGUGGCAUAAAAGGGAUCAACCCCAAUUACCUUCCUUUGACUUUUUCCCCACAGAAACAGCAGAACCAAGACACUCUGGAUCAACUGGAAAAAGUAAUGUGA